This 214-nucleotide long non-coding RNA is filed under the name Elaeis guineensis (African oil palm). RNAcentral describes it as "long non-coding RNA (EGUI_LNC059929)". Lineage: Eukaryota; Viridiplantae; Streptophyta; Magnoliopsida; Arecales; Arecaceae. The record is from RNAcentral.
ACCUUUCUUGUACCAAUGGUUAUCAACUUUAAUAUAUCCCAUCCUCCUCAAAGAAUUUUGUGAUAGGUGUCAAAAUGUUUUAAACUUCUUGAAGGUUCCUUUUCCAAAUUAACACCAAAUUGUUUUAAGACCAAAGUGAGGAAUAUAUUAUAUGGUAGUGUAGGCUUUGCUCUUAAAGAUGCUUCUUGCAUAAUUUUAAUCAAUACUACCAGUG